This 117-nucleotide ribosomal RNA is filed under the name Cellulomonas sp. The record is from RNAcentral. Lineage: Bacteria; Bacillati; Actinomycetota; Actinomycetes; Micrococcales; Cellulomonadaceae.
CACGGCGGCCACAGCGAAGGGGAAACGCCCGGUCCCAUCCCGAACCCGGAAGCUAAGCCCUUCAGCGCCGAUGGUACUGCACCCGCCAGGAUGUGGGAGAGUAGGACGCCGCCGGAC